UGGGGAAUAUUGCGCAAUGGGCGAAAGCCUGACGCAGCCACGCCGCGUGAGUGAUGAAGGCCUUCGGGUUGUAAAGCUCUGUCGGGAGGGACGAAGGGGAAACCCUGACGGUACCUCGCAAGAAAGCACCGGCUAACUCUGUGCCAGCAGCCGCGGUAAUACAGAGGGUGCAAGCGUUGCUCGGAUUUACUGGGCGUAAAGCGUACGCAGACGGUGAGAAAGGUCGGAUGUGAAAGCCCCGGGCUCAACCCGGGAACUGCAUCCGAAACCAUCUCGCUCGAGUGUGGGAGAGGGAAGCGGAAUUCCUGGUGUAGAGGUGAAAUUCGUAGAUAUCAGGAGGAACACCGGCGGCGAAGGCGGCUUCCUGGCCCAUUACUGACGUUCAGGUACGAAAGCGUGGGUAGCAAACAGG
Molecule: ribosomal RNA, 412 nt
Filed under: uncultured Myxococcales bacterium
Lineage: Bacteria; Pseudomonadati; Myxococcota; Myxococcia; Myxococcales
Description: bacterial SSU rRNA
Rfam family: Bacterial small subunit ribosomal RNA
Source: RNAcentral